This 302-nucleotide ribosomal RNA is filed under the name uncultured soil bacterium. RNAcentral describes it as "bacterial SSU rRNA". It matches the Rfam family "Bacterial small subunit ribosomal RNA", at positions 26 to 330 of the family's 1533-position model. The record is from RNAcentral.
AGAUUGAACGCUGGCGGCAUGCCUUACACAUGCAAGUCGAACGGCAGCACGGGAGCAAUCCUGGUGGCGAGUGGCGAACGGGUGAGUAAUAUAUCGGAACGUGCCCAGUCGUGGGGGAUAACGCAGCGAAAGCUGUGCUAAUACCGCAUACGAUCUAUGGAUGAAAGCGGGGGAUCGCAAGACCUCGCGCGAUUGGAGCGGCCGAUAUCAGAUUAGCUAGUUGGUGGGGUAAAAGCCUACCAAGGCGACGAUCUGUAGCUGGUCUGAGAGGACGACCAGCCACACUGGAACUGAGACACGGU